This is a non-coding RNA of Dermatophagoides farinae (American house dust mite), 956 nucleotides long. The record is from RefSeq and is a predicted model, not a curated record. NCBI's taxonomy places the organism in Eukaryota, Metazoa, Arthropoda, Arachnida, Sarcoptiformes, Pyroglyphidae.
UUCUCAUUUACCCUUAACAUUUCAAUUUGUUUCCAUAUAAACAAAUCUAUCGAUUUAUUAUCGAUCUCAUUGAUUUAUAUAUUGUUGUAUAUAUUAUAUAAUGAUUAAAUGCCAUAUAUGAUGAUUAUAAUAAUCAAUAAUCAAUAUAUUAUAUAAAAAAAACUUGCCUCGCCUAUUUACUCAUUCAUGUAUCAUGGAUCAUCAUUAAAUUCAGAUUUCAAUGUGUAAAUAUAUGCAGCUAUAUAUAUAUUGUAAUUCUGAUUCAUUCAGAAUAAUUCUGUUUGAAUAAUUCUACAAUAGAAAAAUAGAUUUGAAAUAUAUACGUUUCUCACACAAAUAAAUACACACACACACACACACACACACACACACUAAGACACAGAAUAUCAGCGAAAUAAUUUACAUCUUGAACCAGUUCGUUUUUCUUUUCUGAAAAAAAAACACAUUGAUCCAUGAAAUUAUCAUCAUCAUCAUCAUAAUCAUUGAGAAUCAUUCAUAAACACAGACACAGACACACACACACACACGCAUAUAUACCAUAUAUAAUGUGUAUAAAUAUACGAAUAUAUUACCUGCAUACGAUUCAUAUGAUUCAUUUGUGGAUAUUAAUGGAAAUAUUAUAUUAUAUAUAUUUGUGAUAAGACAUACACAAUAACAGACAAACAUUGAACUUGAAAGUGACAAAAAAUAAAAAUUUCGAAAAUUUAAAUUCUUUGCAAUUGGUCACCUCCAUUACCAAUUUUACUUUCUGGAUACAACCAAUGAUUGACCAUCAUCAUGAUGAUGUUUUUUGUUUCCCGGAAAUGAAACAUUAUUUUUUCCAUGUGUGUGUGUGUGUGUGUGUGAUAUAUGGUUUUUUUUCCUGGUUGCAUCAUCAUCAAUUGAUUGAUCGAUAAUGAACUAAUAAUAACACUGAUGAUGUGAAAUCAAGUGCAUUAAAAUUAUAUUUCAUUGGU